Molecule: small RNA, 290 nt
Filed under: Roseovarius indicus
Lineage: Bacteria; Pseudomonadati; Pseudomonadota; Alphaproteobacteria; Rhodobacterales; Roseobacteraceae
Description: Roseovarius sp. B108 5' ureB small RNA
Rfam family: 5' ureB small RNA
Source: Rfam by way of RNAcentral
CGUCCUCGAUCUGCUGGGGGCAGAUGAAGUGGAUGUGGCUGUCGAAGCCGCCGGCGGUGAGGAUGCGGCCCUCGCCCGCGAUGGCCUCGGUGCCGGGGCCGACGACGAUGUCGACGCCGGGCUGGGUGUCGGGGUUGCCGGCCUUGCCGAUGGCGGCGAUGCGGCCAUCCUUGAGGCCCACGUCGGCCUUGAUGAUGCCGGUAUGGUCGACGAUGAGGGCGUUGGUGAUGACGGUGUCGACGGCGCCCUCGGCGCGGGUGGCCUGGGACUGGCCCAUGCCGUCGCGGAUG